UGGGGAAUCUUGCGCAAUGCGCGAAAGCGUGACGCAGCAACGCCGCGUGGGGGAAGACGGCCUUCGGGUUGUAAACCCCUUUCAGUUGGGACGAAGCUUCACCGGUUAAUAGCCGGUUGGAGUGACGGUACCUUCAGAAGAAGCUCCGGCUAACUACGUGCCAGCAGCCGCGGUAAUACGUAGGGGGCAAGCGUUGUCCGGAAUUAUUGGGCGUAAAGAGCGUGUAGGCGGUUCGAUUAGUCUGCUGUAAAAGUCGGGGGCUCAACCCCCGAAAGCCGGUGGAUACUGUCGGACUAGAGUACGGAAGAGGCGAGUGGAAUUCCUGGUGUAGCGGUGAAAUGCGCAGAUAUCAGGAGGAACACCGACUGCGAAGGCAGCUCGCUGGGACGUAACUGACGCUGAGACGCGAAAGCGUGGGGAGCAAACAG
Molecule: ribosomal RNA, 428 nt
Filed under: uncultured bacterium
Lineage: Bacteria
Description: bacterial SSU rRNA
Rfam family: Bacterial small subunit ribosomal RNA
Source: RNAcentral